GCGCGCCCUUCGGGGUGAGCGGCGGACGGGUUAGUAACGCGUGGGAACGUGCCCAGAUCUAAGGAAUAGCCACUGGAAACGGUGAGUAAUACCUUAUACGCCCUUCGGGGGAAAGAUUUAUCGGAUUUGGAUCGGCCCGCGUUAGAUUAGGUAGUUGGUGGGGUAAUGGCCUACCAAGCCUACGAUCUAUAGCUGGUUUUAGAGGAUGAUCAGCAACACUGGGACUGAGACACGGCCCAGACUCCUACGGGAGGCAGCAGUGGGGAAUCUUGGACAAUGGGGGCAACCCUGAUCCAGCCAUGCCGCGUGAGUGAUGAAGGCCUUAGGGUCGUAAAGCUCUUUCGCCUGUGAUGAUAAUGACAGUAGCAGGUAAAGAAACCCCGGCUAACUCCGUGCCAGCAGCCGCGGUAAUACGGAGGGGGUUAGCGUUGUUCGGAAUUACUGGGCGUAAAGCGCGCGUAGGCGGAUUAGUCAGUUAGAGGUGAAAUCCCAGGGCUCAACCCUGGAACCGCCUUUAAUACUGCUAGUCUUGAGUUCGAGAGAGGUGAGUGGAAUUCCGAGUGUAGAGGUGAAAUUCGUAGAUAUUCGGAGGAACACCAGUGGCGAAGGCGGCUCACUGGCUCGAUACUGACGCUGAGGUGCGAAAGUGUGGGGAGCAAACAGGAUUAGA
This 670-nucleotide ribosomal RNA is filed under the name uncultured Alphaproteobacteria bacterium. Its description in RNAcentral is "bacterial SSU rRNA". It matches the Rfam family "Bacterial small subunit ribosomal RNA", at positions 66 to 782 of the family's 1533-position model. The record is from RNAcentral. Lineage: Bacteria; Pseudomonadati; Pseudomonadota; Alphaproteobacteria.